UAUAUUUUGGUGUAUGGUGCAUGAAAGUUUUUGAUACUUUAGGUAAUAGUUUAAUUCUAUUAAAUAUAA
This 69-nucleotide transfer RNA is filed under the name Phryganistria guangxiensis. RNAcentral describes it as "tRNA-Gln". It matches the Rfam family "tRNA". Rfam says of the family: Transfer RNA (tRNA) molecules are approximately 80 nucleotides in length. Their secondary structure includes four short double-helical elements and three loops (D, anti-codon, and T loops). The record is from RNAcentral. Lineage: Eukaryota; Metazoa; Arthropoda; Insecta; Phasmatodea; Phasmatidae.